UUGGUUAAGUUAGAAAGGGCGCACGGUGGAUGCCUUGGCACUAGGAGCCGAAGAAGGACGGGACUAACACCGAUAUGCUUUGGGGAGCUGUACGUAAGCGUUGAUCCAGAGAUUUCCGAAUGGGGGAACCCACUAUCUUUAGUCGGAUAGUAUCCUUACGUGAAUACAUAGCGUGAGGAAGGCAGACCCAGGGAACUGAAACAUCUAAGUACCUGGAGGAAGAGAAAGAAAAAUCGAUUUCCUGAGUAGCGGCGAGCGAAACGGAAAGAGCCCAAACCAAGAAGCUUGCUUCUUGGGGUUGUAGGACACUCUAUACGGAGUUACAAAAGAAAGUUAUAAAUGAAGCGGUCUGGAAAGGCCCGCCAAAGACGGUAACAGCCCGGUAGUUGAAAUGGCUUUCCCUCCAGAGUGGAUCCUGAGUACGGCGGAACACGUGAAAUUCCGUCGGAAUCCGGGAGGACCAUCUCCCAAGGCUAAAUACUCCCUAGUGACCGAUAGUGAACCAGUACCGUGAGGGAAAGGUGAAAAGCACCCCGGAAGGGGAGUGAAACAGUUCCUGAAACCGUGUGCCUACAAGUAGUUAGAGCCCGUUAAUGGGUGAUAGCGUGCCUUUUGUAGAAUGAACCGGCGAGUUACGAUUUGUUGCAAGGUUAAGCGGAAAAAGCGGAGCCGUAGCGAAAGCGAGUCUGAAUAGGGCGCAUAAGUAACAGGUCGUAGACCCGAAACCAGGUGAUCUACCCAUGUCCAGGAUGAAGGUAAGGUAAUACUUACUGGAGGUCCGAACCCACGCACGUUGAAAAGUGCGGGGAUGAGGUGUGGGUAGCGGAGAAAUUCCAAUCGAACUUGGAGAUAGCUGGUUCUCUCCGAAAUAGCUUUAGGGCUAGCCUCGAGGUAAAGAGUCAUGGAGGUAGAGCACUGUUUGGACUAGGGGCCCUUCUCGGGUUACCGAAUUCAGAUAAAC
Molecule: ribosomal RNA, 961 nt
Filed under: Listeria monocytogenes
Lineage: Bacteria; Bacillati; Bacillota; Bacilli; Caryophanales; Listeriaceae
Description: partial 23S ribosomal RNA
Rfam family: Bacterial large subunit ribosomal RNA
Source: RNAcentral